RNAcentral lists this ribosomal RNA (501 nucleotides) under uncultured bacterium. Its description in RNAcentral is "partial 16S ribosomal RNA". It matches the Rfam family "Bacterial small subunit ribosomal RNA", at positions 29 to 507 of the family's 1533-position model. The record is from RNAcentral.
ACGAACGCUGGCGGCGUGCUUAACACAUGCAAGUCGAACGGUGAAGGGGUCUGCUUUUGUGGGCCCUGGAUGAGUGGCGAACGGGUGAGUAACACGUGAGUAACCUGCCCCCUUCUUCUGGAUAACCGCAUGAAAGUGUGGCUAAUACGGGAUAUUCUGGGUCUGUCGCAUGAUGGGUCUGGGAAAGAUUGCGCCUUUGGGUGUUUUUGGUGGGGGAUGGGCUCGCGGCCUAUCAGCUUGUUGGUGGGGUGAUGGCCUACCAAGGCGGUGACGGGUAGCCGGCCUGAGAGGGUGGACGGUCACACUGGGACUGAGACACGGCCCAGACUCCUACGGGAGGCAGCAGUGGGGAAUAUUGCACAAUGGGCGCAAGCCUGAUGCAGCGACGCCGCGUGAGGGAUGGAGGCCUUCGGGUUGUAAACCUCUUUCGCCAGUGAAGCAGGCCUGCUCCGUGUGGGUGGGUUGACGGUAGCUGGAUAAGAAGCGCCGGCUAACUACGUG